UAUACUUUUGUGUUUGUCUUGUUCUCCUCAAAACGUGAAAUUGCUAGCCAUUUGCAAUUGACACGUAAUAGUGGGUCCGAUUCUGACGACAAGAACUCCAGUACGUCCAAGGAAGCAUUAGUUCGAAUUCGAAUUUUCUCUUCACCCAGGCGUUGUAGUGAGAGCUCGCAGUACUUACCGGCGCUUCGCACUGGCAAGCUGUACUCGCUAUUAAGCAAUUCAAAAUUCACAAGUUGAUGAAAUUUUAAAUACCGCCGGAAGAUCAAGUAAAAAAAGGAUAUAGUAUGAACUAUCGUUUAAAAUAUCGUUUAAAAGAUAGUCACAAAUCUUAUACUAUUUUAAUGCAAUAUGAGCUGCAUUUUUCAUGUUUAAUUCUUUUUUACUCAAAUAUUCUUUUCUACUAGAAUGACAAAACUAUCAUGGUUUUUAAAUUUCUGUAAGCCAUAUUUCUAUGGAAAAGGCCGUUAAAAGCCUUAUUUGGACCAAAAUUGAAUUAUUGUCGUCCUGUACAAAAAUUGAUUUGCUAUAUAUUCCUUAGAAGAGAAAUAUUUCCUUUGACAAAAAUUAAUGAUUUUUUCAAAUCUUAUCUAUCAUGAAAGUUUAAGUUAUAUACAGGCUUAUCAUAGUAGCAGAUUUUUGCAGCAAAAUAAAGUUCUAAAAAAUACAGCUCAUAUUCGUUUAACAAUUAACUUUCAACUGCUUUGAGUGAAAACGUAAGUUCUAAAUUUCGACAUGACAUGUUUCAUGAAUAUUGACUGAUGGAAAUAUCUAAAACUGAGAUACUUUUCUUAAUCUAAACUGUACACUAGUAGAUGAUAUACAUAUAAUCAAUGACUGUGAACAUUUUUGUGAAUUUCCGUAUAAGUAUCAAGAGACAUUUUAUCCAGAACUUAUUUACCUGGCAAAGCGAAGGUAUUGUGACAAUCACUGUUCAUAUCGAACACACCCGAUUUUGUUUUUCCCAUAAUUCUUUGCAACGUGCUUGGCCGACCCUAACAAUAGGCGCUAAGAUAUACCCGGCCGAGCUGUCCAGCGAUUAAGACGUGCUUAGUGUGUGAAGGGGGUAUCGUGUUAGAAGCCUGUGUGGCAUGUUUUAGUUUCACAAGUUCAGCAUUUGACGCGGUCACGGAUAGCUGACCGUGUGUCAUAUUGUUGAUGUUGAGAAGAUGAUGAUGCGAUGGUGAUGACGAUGAUGAUUUGAUGGUGAUGUUGAUGAAGACGAUGAUGUUAUGGUGAUGUCGACGACUACGAUGAUGAUGAUGGUCAUGUCGAUGACGAUGCGAUGUUGAUGUUGAUGACGCCAAUGAUGUUAUGGUGAUGAUGACGACGAUGAUGAUGAUGGUCAUGUCGAUGAUGAUGAUGUAGAUGAUGUCGUUCAUGGUGACGUCGGUGAUGAUGAUGAAGGAGAUGAUUAUGGUGAUGACGAUGAUGUCUAUUAUGAUUAUGGUGUUGUAGGCGAUGAUGUUGACGAUAGUGUCGAUGAUUAUGAUGACGAUGGUGAUGAUGAUGAUGAUUGUGGUGACGCAACUACUUUAGUUGUGGUUGUCCGUAGUUGGUCCAGGACUACAGCCCCGGAGAUUCGGACACUCUUCUAAUAUAUUUUUGGUCAUUUGUAUAAACAUCAUAUUUUUUCUUGUUGAGUGAAAGGUGUGUGAGUGUUUGUGUGGUUUAGUGUUUAUAUUUCUAUCUUUUCUUUCUUUCUCUUAUUUUUUUGUUAAUAAAUUUUGUUAAAUUUAA
Magallana angulata is the source of this 1737-nucleotide long non-coding RNA. RefSeq lists it as uncharacterized. The transcript is spliced from 2 exons. The record is from RefSeq and is a predicted model, not a curated record. NCBI's taxonomy places the organism in Eukaryota, Metazoa, Mollusca, Bivalvia, Ostreida, Ostreidae.